GUAGAGAUUCAUACCAUAAACAGUUUUGGCGUGGUGGUGUGUUGGUUCAGUGGGACGGUACUCGAUGUUGAUGAUGGAGGCCUCGGGUACGACUCCUUGACUGUCUCUUAGGAGACAUUGAGCAGGUCGAGGCACAGAGGCAGAAUUCUCAAAGAUCAUGGAAUGACUGCAGAUUCAACUACAGUACAAAAGCCUCUGUUAUAGGUGUGGUGCAGUAUGUGGUCAGUGUGGUGCAGUAUGAGGACACAAGUGAAGUGUGGUGCAGUAUGUGGGGACAACAGACCACGAGUGAAGCUUCUCACAAUACACAACGGUGUUCCUUCAGGUAACAGCUGAUGUACGUGAAGGCCAAUGGAGAAGUGACAGAACCUCGAGCAAGAUUUAACUACCAGCAUGUUACUUCAGCCUCAUCAGUUAAGUUACUUGUACAGUAUAUCUUAGCUAGUAUCUUUAUCCAAUAAACCACUCGACACUGCUCCUACACUGGGCAGUGGAGGGUGUGUGGGGGCGCCUUGCUGACUGUUUGAGGCCUAAUAGGUCUGUGUGUAGACCUAGUGAUCAGUGUGUGGGGCCUGGCGGACACUCUUGGAGGACUGUGUUGGAGGGCUAUGGAGGACGAUCUGUAGACAGACUGAUAUUAGAGUAAAAUUUAUAUUAGUUGUAGUGACAGUAUAAAUAUACAGAACUGUAUGCCUAUUGAUUAUUAGUGAAAAUUAGUAGUAGUAGUAAACAUAGUAAAUUAAGCAAGUUGUUGUGGGUGGGUUUCAACUAACUUUACUAACCAUAACCUAACCUAAGAUAAACUAUUCCAAGAC
This is a long non-coding RNA of Homarus americanus (American lobster), 815 nucleotides long. RefSeq lists it as uncharacterized. Lineage: Eukaryota; Metazoa; Arthropoda; Malacostraca; Decapoda; Nephropidae. The transcript is spliced from 3 exons. The record is from RefSeq and is a predicted model, not a curated record.